Long non-coding RNA from Ceratina calcarata, 895 nucleotides. RefSeq lists it as uncharacterized. The transcript is spliced from 3 exons. The record is from RefSeq and is a predicted model, not a curated record. Lineage: Eukaryota; Metazoa; Arthropoda; Insecta; Hymenoptera; Apidae.
AAGGUACUGUGGUGUUCUUUCGCAUAUCAUUAAUUAAUUUCUCUUUAUUUCUACCCAUUGUUAAUAUUAAUUGUGCUUCGCUUCCAGAUUAUUAUUCUUUCAGGUUUUUCUUGUGACCGCGCAAUGCGGUCUUGUGUUAGAAUCAGUGUUUGCUUCGUAAUUAUGUAUUUUUCUUGAUUUUGUGGCCGCGCGCAAUGCGGUCGUAGAGCCUUGCUUCAUAUUUGCAUUAUAGUUUGCAAUUUUUCUAGUUAUUUAGUCAAUUUACAAUGUCAUUUCCUAUUUCGUAAUUCUGUCUUAAUAAAUGUUAUCGCGAAAUCCGAGUCAGUGUUUGUUCGUCGAUUAGAAUUUGAACGGGCAUGUCUAUAGUUAUCUAGUCAUUAUCUUUUUAUUCUUGUCUUGUCCUCAAGAAAGAAGGUAGCGCGAAGAGAAGGCAUUCUUCGGUGGGCAGCAAUGGGUCUUAUCUCGGUUGCUCCAAGAAUAUUCGGUGACCGCGCGCAAUGCGGUCGGUAGACUCAGUGUUUGUUUCGUAGUAAUUUUUAGUUGAUUUCAAUUUCGAUUUCGAAUAUCUUUCAGUCAAUUUCGACUUGAUUCAUUAUAUCUUCUUUUCUAAUUCAAUUUUAUAAUUCUUGAUACAUUUAAUCGCGAAAUUAGAGUCAGUGUUGUUCGCCGAUUAAUAUUUCUUUUAUUGCUAUUUCUAACAUUCUCAAAAUGGUCAUUCAGUGUUAUUAGAGUCGCGCGUUUAAAGUCACAUCAAGAACGAAGAAUAUAAGAGAUUAUGCGGUACUCCUCGAGAGUACAAUUUGUUACAGUUUUCAUCUUUAUUCUUCUUCUUCUUCGACAACCGGCGGAUGGUUCCUGACAUUCCUCAAUUUUGGGGUGGCCGAAGCAGCAUCAA